UUUUAUUAUUCUGUGUCAUGAUGCUUCCGUUAUUAGCCUUUUAUCGUCUUGUUUAUAUUUUUUGGGCCGGCAUGAUGCCGGCUUUUUUUUA
Molecule: antisense RNA, 91 nt
Filed under: Escherichia coli
Lineage: Bacteria; Pseudomonadati; Pseudomonadota; Gammaproteobacteria; Enterobacterales; Enterobacteriaceae
Description: sRNA antisense regulator of ompA and ompC translation, Hfq-dependent
Rfam family: rseX Hfq binding RNA
Source: RNAcentral